This 253-nucleotide ribosomal RNA is filed under the name uncultured bacterium. RNAcentral describes it as "partial 16S ribosomal RNA". It matches the Rfam family "Bacterial small subunit ribosomal RNA", at positions 524 to 776 of the family's 1533-position model. The record is from RNAcentral.
UACAGAGGAGCCAAGCGUUGUCCGGAUUGACUGGGCGUAAAGCGCACGCAGGCGGCUGCGCGCGUGGGGUGUGAAAUCUGGCCGCUUAACGGCCAGGCGCCAUCCCAUACGGCGCGUCUGGAGUGAUGCAGAGGUCGGUGGAAUUGCCGGUGUAGUGGUGAAAUGCGUAGAGAUCGGCAGGAACACCCAGGGGGAAACCAGCCGACUGGGCAGCUACUGACGCUGAGGUGCGAGAGCGUGGGGAGCGAACCGG